CACGUAGUUAGCCGUGGCUUUCUGAUUAGGUACCGUCAAGAUGUGCACAGUUACUUACACAUUUGUUCUUCCCUAAUAACAGAGUUUUACGAGCCGAAACCUUCAUCACUCACGCGGCGUUGCUCCGUCAGGCUUUCGCCCAUUGCGGAAGAUUCCCUACUGCUGCCUCCCGUAGGAGUCUGGACCGUGUCUCAGUUCCAGUGUGGCCGAUCACCCUCUCAGGUCGGCUACGUAUCGUCGCCUUGGUAAGCCGUUACCUUACCAACUAGCUAAUACGGCGCGGGUCCAUCUAUAAGUGAUAGCAAAACCAUCUUUCACUUUAGAACCAUGCGGUUCUAAAUGUUAUCCGGUAUUAGCUCCGGUUUCCCGAAGUUAUCCCAGUCUUAUAGGUAGGUUACCCACGUGUUACUCACCCGUCCGCCGCUAACUUCAAAGGAGCAAGCUCCUUAUCUGUUCGCUCGACUUGCAUGUAUUAGGCACGCCGCCAGCGUUCAUCCUGAGCCAGGAUCAAACUCU
RNAcentral lists this ribosomal RNA (516 nucleotides) under uncultured Staphylococcus sp. Its description in RNAcentral is "partial 16S ribosomal RNA". Lineage: Bacteria; Bacillati; Bacillota; Bacilli; Caryophanales; Staphylococcaceae. The record is from RNAcentral.